ACCCAACUGUAGCCCUUUUUUUCUUGGAGAAGGACAUGCAUCCAGGAAAAAUGAUGAACUUGCAGUUCACUGAAAACACUAACACAGCAACUUUCUUACCUCGCCAGGUUGCUGAUUCAAUACCCUUUUCAUCUAACAAUUUGCCAGAAAUCUACAGUGAGUUUUCAGUGAAACCUGGAUCAACAGAAGCUGAGGUAAUGAAGGAAACAAUCAAGGAAUGUGAAAACCCUGGAAUUGAAGGAGAGGAGAAAGAGUGCGCAACUUCACUGGAGUCAAUGAUCGACUUCAGCACUUCCAAACUAGGAAAGAACGUUCAGGCAAU
This 322-nucleotide long non-coding RNA is filed under the name Populus tremula. RNAcentral describes it as "long non-coding RNA (PTRE_LNC001563)". Lineage: Eukaryota; Viridiplantae; Streptophyta; Magnoliopsida; Malpighiales; Salicaceae. The record is from RNAcentral.